UGCAUGUUAGAUUCUCCAAAAGUAGUGUAUAUUUGAAGAACGUGAAACGGGUGCGGCAUCGAAGGGUGGAUAAACAACUUCAAUUUUAAUAUGCCUUUUGCUUCAGCAAUCCUUGCCAAUCUAACAUGACUAUUUUCUUUGCUUUCAGCUAAUUGAGAUAGGCAACAUUCAUUUGCUUAGAGUAUCAACUUAGUCAAAUAGAUAAUGUAUAUGAAAUAGCUAUCAUUAUAGGUCUUUUUUCAAGAGUUCGACACAUUACGAGGAAAAAUUCAUUCUCCUCUUUCCCUCUGUUAACUGUUGUAUGAUUAUAGUUUGUUAAGGGGGGAAAUAUUGCUCAGUCAAGUGCAAAUUUACUUAUUGACAGCUCACAUGAAUCUCUUACAUUAUCUUGACAGCUCACAUGAAUCUAUUCUCUGUUUUUCUUUGUAUCAUGUAGUAUGUGGGGNN
RNAcentral lists this long non-coding RNA (447 nucleotides) under Solanum tuberosum (potato). RNAcentral describes it as "long non-coding RNA (STUB_LNC000940)". The record is from RNAcentral. Lineage: Eukaryota; Viridiplantae; Streptophyta; Magnoliopsida; Solanales; Solanaceae.